GACGAACGCUGGCGGCGUGCUUAACACAUGCAAGUCGAACGGAAAGGCCCUGCUUUUGUGGGGUGCUCGAGUGGCGAACGGGUGAGUAACACGUGAGUAACCUGCCCUUGACUUUGGGAUAACUUCAGGAAACUGGGGCUAAUACCGGAUAGGAGCUCCUGCUGCAUGGUGGGGGUUGGAAAGUUUCGGCGGUGGGGGAUGGACUCGCGGCUUAUCAGCUUGUUGGUGGGGUAGUGGCUUACCAAGGCUUUGACGGGUAGCCGGCCUGAGAGGGUGACCGGCCACCUUGGGACUGCGAGACGGCCCAGACUCCUACGGGAGGCAGCGGUCGGGAAUAUUGCACAAUGGGCGGGAGCCUGAUGCAGCAACGCCGCGUGCGGGAUGACGGCCUUCGGGUUGUAAACCGCUUUCGCCUGUGACGAAGCGUGAGUGACGGUAAUGGGUAAAGAAGCACCGGCUAACUACGUG
Molecule: ribosomal RNA, 468 nt
Filed under: uncultured bacterium
Lineage: Bacteria
Description: partial 16S ribosomal RNA
Rfam family: Bacterial small subunit ribosomal RNA
Source: RNAcentral